UAUUUGCUUUUUGGAUUUUGAGUUUUAUAAGUCCUUUAUAUAUUUUGGAUUCUAACCCUUUAUCAGUUAUGCCAUUUACAAAUAGCUUUA
Molecule: long non-coding RNA, 90 nt
Organism: Mustela erminea (ermine)
Lineage: Eukaryota; Metazoa; Chordata; Mammalia; Carnivora; Mustelidae
Exons: 3
Source: RefSeq, a predicted model, not a curated record